Long non-coding RNA from Oreochromis niloticus (Nile tilapia), 1307 nucleotides. RefSeq lists it as uncharacterized. The transcript is spliced from 4 exons. The record is from RefSeq and is a predicted model, not a curated record. NCBI's taxonomy places the organism in Eukaryota, Metazoa, Chordata, Actinopteri, Cichliformes, Cichlidae.
UUUUUGUAGCGGCCGCUUGGUGUUCUCUGAUGUGCAAGGCUUUGGCAUUCCCCAAGGCUCCCAGCAAUCACCUUAAUUCCUUGUCCCUUCGUGGUCAAUUUUGAAGCCAUCCCUUGGGGAGUGUGAACCUUAAGGUGUGAAACAGCUGUGUACUGCCUUUUGUUCCUGAAGAAGGUAUUUAACUGAGAGCCAUUCUCGGCUCGGUAAGACUCUGCUGACCGUCUGCCCUGCGAUCAUGCAGGCUCUCCACCAAGCUUGAUUGUCUCUUCUUUGAUUGUGAUUAAAGAAAAUUAGCUACCGCUCGUCUGCAGGCUUUAUUUAAUGGAAGACUUCCACAAUAGACCGGAUUUGGUGUGUGGUGGUAACAGUAACUCCUCCUAAGGAAACAUUAAAAUAAAGGAGCUGUUCUCAGAGUCACUAAAUAAACACAUGAACGCGACAGUCUAAACAUCUGGAAAGUCCUGGAGGAAGAGAAUGGCUGGACUCAUCUGGAUUCUGCUUUCUGCAUACCUGCUGGGUUGUACCUCUCAGGACCAGAAAAACAUCACAGCUGAGUCUGGACAGGACGUCAUUCUGACAUGUCGAGCUCCAAACUACACCAAUCAAAAUUUCAACUGGAGCAGAGCUGACCUGGGAGAUGAAUAUGUCCUUUUGUAUCGAGACGAGGUGUUUGUUACAGACAACCAGCAUCCAUCUUUUAAGAACCGGGUGGAUCUGCAGGACAACAGAUGAAGGAUGGAGACGUGUCUUUGAUUCUGAAGAAUGUGACGAUUAAUGAUGCUGGAACAUACGAGUGUGUCCUCAUGAAUGGAAUAAAUCAGCACAUCAGCAACAUCACCCUGAGUGUUGUUGAUCCUCCAGGAUCUGUUGGAGUGAUCGUUGGUGUGGUAGUUGCUGCUGCCCUCAUUGUCGCUGCUGUUGCUGGAUUUGUGAUCUACAGAAACCAUAAAAAGGCAAAAGAAGUUCUUCUGUUCUCGUCCAAAUAUCUCAGACCGCUUAUCAUUAAACAGUCUCCUGCUGCUGUUCCCACUUCCCAGUGUUGUCAGUGAACAGACACAGCAGGGAACUUCACAAUGAAACUGAUUUGUGAAAUGUCACCGACAGUUAGGUCUUUGUUUAACUGUUGAAAACAGAGAAUUUUGCUGUUUUAUCAUUCAUUAUCCAGUUAUUGCUUCAUCCAGAUCACACCAUAUAAUUCUGAUUCUGAAUCACUUUAACUAAUCUCUCAGCAUUAUAACAAUAUUCUGCUCUUUACACUGGAUGUCUUUGCAGUGUUCACAUAUUCAGCUUAUUUUUAGAACCUGUGC